GGGGGAUUAUGACAAGCAACUAAACAGAUCUAAGCAAGUUAAAUAUCCAAUAAAAAGUUUCUCAGUUUCUUGUGGUCUCGAGGACUUCUCACCAAAUCUAUAUGAUGGCUAACUCUUCCAUACUUGUGCAUAAAAAUGGGAUUGAUAAAUUUAGUACACUUUUUUGUAAGAAAAGAACCUCACCUGUCAAAGCUAAAAAUAAGAACUUUUUUACUCUAUACCAAGAAUCAAAUACCUGCCCAAUACUGGGUCAAAUUACACGAUACAAACUCGUACGAGCAUGCCUGCCAAAAUUAAACUAUAGCAGUUGUACAAGAACUAAUGAAGGUACAAGAACUAGGAGAAUAAAGGUACUGGAACUAGAACUGAUGGAGGCAAGGUAAGUUCAUCCUCCAGCAUCACUCGCACAGUUCAAAAGAAUUGCAGCAAUCAGCUUUAAGUUCUGGCAUCAUAUAGCUAUACCUCAAAAGAUGAAUUUUAAUUUAUCAGCAAUUUCAUACUACAAAUUGAUAAAGGACGUAUGAAUGUAAGCCAAUUGAAGAUUUUUUUUUUUCAUGGGGGAGAAUGGGGAGAAGUUACUGGGAAGGUACAAAUGGCUUUGAGCUUCCAUAUAAUGCCAAGGUCGCAAAAUACCAAAAGAAUAUAUCUAAGCUGUGAAACAAUCAGCAAUAUAGAUUAGUUUACGCAAUAGAAUUUGAGGAAUUCAAUGAGGGCAAGUUCAAAACAAUAAAAGCAAAUUAGAAUUGAAAUCUUGAAAUCAUGUUCUAGCCAAUUUUACAUUUAGAAUCGACCUAUAUUACCUUGGAUGGUACAGGGUCAGAAUAUGAAACAUAAAUCUCCAACAACUGUUUUGUUUUGACUUCGUGUGGAAAUGAUUACAAUUACAACAACACAGAUUUGAGCUUGAAAUAAAAGAUCUAGCAGGAAAAAAUUCAUUGAUAAAUUACCACAGGAGGAAAUUUGAAGUCCGAAAUGAAUGGCAUUACCUGAGAACUUUUCAUCAAAUCAUGAUAAAAAUCAUACUCUGCUUCAUAAUCAUGUAACUUAAGCUCGCCCUUUUGAUUAGUAUGAUAAUGGUGCUUAGCCAAAGUGGAUUUUCCAAAGCCAAAUACACUAACUUUGUCGCAAAUCCCCACAGCCAGCAUUACAGCUUGGAAACCAGAAGAGUAAUGAAACAUGGAACCAUCAUGUGCAGAGCUCCAUUCAUCCAACGACUUCUCUGUCUCCUCCACAAACCGUUUCAGGGAGUAGUACUUUACAAUCCUCGCACACAACAUAUCAAAACGUGGAUCAGUGACAAUCAAAGGCGCCCUGUGAGACAAAUUGCAAAUGGUAUAGUCCAAGAAAUGCACAGGUUGACAAACAUACAUAACCAUGGGGACAUUAACCCCAUAUGGGUGACAAAAACACCCUUGUCUCCUGGCACAAAGAUGCAAUAUGUUGCUAUUUACAAAGGAAAUAUUAGUUUUAGACCCAACAUGUUGCUGAAAUCUCUCUGUCCUCGCAUUGUUCAAUCUGAUAACAAUCUCAUGGCCAUCAAUCAACUCCCCAUAAUCUUUUUGCAACAGAAUCCCACUGUUCCCCACUACAGCACAAGAACUGUACUUCCUGUUUGAACCCACCAAUCCACUAUGCUCAUCAAUUGGAUUCUUUACCAGACCUAUCAAUUCAUUCAUUAUAUCAGGUUGAUACCUCUUGGCUCGAGCCCAAUCAUGCAAUACCUUCCUAAAAUCUAACCAAUACCGAUAAAACUGCGGUGACCUAAGCGUUACAGGCACGCCCCUGGAUGAGCUAGCUCUGAUAUCAUGGUGAUUGAACCUUCUCCAAGUAGCGAAAGUCCUAUACCUCCCUUGACUAGCAAAGUUACCUUCUAACAGCUGCUCUAUUUCUUGUUUUGCUUGAGCUUCACCUAUAUCAAUAGCUGCAUAUUUUAGCAGUGUAGAGUUGAAAACUGGGACUGGUGGUUGGACUAUGACAUUGGUUUGGAGCUCAAUUGAGCUGAAGCGGCCGCCACGGCGGAUUAGGAUCCGGCAACUAAGUGUAAUAGCAAACACAAUCAGAAAGAGAAUGCUAAAGAGUGGACGGAUUGACCUCUUCAUUGGCGCAAUGAAAUCGGCAGCCCAGUUAAUGGGUAUCCCUACAUCCGACCACCACCACCGGAUGAAAAUUGUAUCAGAUCCAUCUUCACAUACAAGAGUUUUUGGCAUCCAAAGAAGUGAAAAGAAAAGAAAUCAAGAAAGUGGACUAGGAGACAUAAAUACAAUGAUGGGUAAGUUUAUGGACAAAAUACAUUUCAAGAACAACAGCAAUGAUUGACUAAAAGAAGAAACUUUGCAACUUGAACAUAAAUAUUAUCUGAAUAUUUAUAAGAAAAUUUUGGGUACCCAAAUCUUGCAGUGGAAAAGGCUAAAAAAAAAUGGAAAUAUAGGAGGUGCUACAAGAAAGUGAAAUCGGAAUUGCAGAUGGGAAUAAACUUUGGAUGAAAGGCUUGGUAAAGAAAUGGGAAUUUCAUGACUGAGCAGGGUAGCUAAAAAAUAGACUUUAAACUUUGGGGCGGUGAUUGAGAUUAAGAGGAGAUAAACUUAAGAUCUAAAAAGAGAAAGGUGAGCGAUAGAGGGUUUUGUGCCCAGUGAUGGUGCCGUCUGGGGGUGGUGGGGAAAAGGAGGAGAGGAUGAGAAUAUAUGAGCGUAUGAGUAGGGAAAUGGCAAUGGACGUAAAGGCUUAAUAAAAAAAACUAUAUUUGAAGGUCUG
Molecule: unclassified non-coding RNA, 2751 nt
Filed under: Hevea brasiliensis (rubber tree)
Lineage: Eukaryota; Viridiplantae; Streptophyta; Magnoliopsida; Malpighiales; Euphorbiaceae
Source: RNAcentral